Collinsella sp. CAG:398 is the source of this 107-nucleotide non-coding RNA. Lineage: Bacteria; Bacillati; Actinomycetota; Coriobacteriia; Coriobacteriales; Coriobacteriaceae. The record is from Rfam.
CGCAGGUGCCUAGGGGAAUCGGGGUGAAAGUCCCCGGCUAUACCAGUAACCGUAACUCUCGCAGCGCGAAUCGCCGCGCGCGGACAAGUCGGAUCGCCUCUCCAUCG